GGCCAAAAAAGUCUUGGGGAAGAUUAGAUGGUCAGAAAAGCUAUUGGAGUCCUUCUGAAGGUGGGAUCUUAACUUGGAAUGGGUUUUAUGCCUUUAAAAGGGGGUGCACGGGCCUGAGAAUAGUGGUAGCAAUGGUAGAGAUCUCAGGUGACGGCUAAGAGUAUCAGGAAGCAUCUAGGGGUUUUAGGGAUCCUGGUUUGGUAGGCCUGAGUCUCAUUUGGAUUUUUUUGUGAGAGCUUUUGUAAGGGGUGAGAGGUGAGAGC
RNAcentral lists this long non-coding RNA (263 nucleotides) under Elaeis guineensis (African oil palm). Its description in RNAcentral is "long non-coding RNA (EGUI_LNC032109)". The record is from RNAcentral. Lineage: Eukaryota; Viridiplantae; Streptophyta; Magnoliopsida; Arecales; Arecaceae.